AUGAGAUUUCCGGAGUAUAAGGUCCUAAAUGGAGAUCCUUGUCAUUCUAAUCAUAGGCCGAUUACUGUAUUUGUGGAAAAAUCAAACAAUGCAACAACAAGGGCAAAUAAUGCACAUGGUUUCAGAUUUGAAGCCAAGUGGCUACAGGAGGAAGAAUGUGAGAAAAUUGUAAAUGAUGCUUGGACAUCAGCUUCACUUGGAGGAGGCCGAAGCAUCUCACAACUAUUAAAAGCAAUGGCUCAUGACCUCCAAGAUUGGGACUCUAAUGUCUUGGGUGACCUUCCGAAAAGAAUAAAUGAACUAAAGAAGGAUCUGGAAAAGGUGAGAAGACAAGAAAUCAAUCAACAAUCCAUAGCUAGAGAGCACUUCCUGAGAGAUAAGCUAGACAUGUUGGAACACCAAUGGGAUACUUUUUGGCGCCAACGGGCUCAUGUCAAGUGGCUUCAGUCAGGGGAUAAAAAUACAUCUUUUUCCACGCAUUUGCAUCAGAAAGGAAAAAAACAACACGCUGAAGAGACUGAAGGCAGAGGAUGGCCGCGGGAUUGA
This 546-nucleotide ribosomal RNA is filed under the name Triticum aestivum (bread wheat). RNAcentral's name for it is "partial small subunit ribosomal RNA". Lineage: Eukaryota; Viridiplantae; Streptophyta; Magnoliopsida; Poales; Poaceae. The record is from RNAcentral.